AGUGAACGCUGGCGGUAGGCCUAAUACAUGCAAGUCGAACGGCAGCACAGUAAGAGCUUGCUCUUACGGGUGGCGAGUGGCGGACGGGUGAGGAAUACAUCGGAAUCUACUUUUUCGUGGGGGAUAACGUAGGGAAACUUACGCUAAUACCGCAUACGACCUGCGGGUGAAAGCAGGGGAUCUUCGGACCUUGCGCGAUUGAAUGAGCCGAUGUCGGAUUAGCUAGUUGGCGGGGUAAAGGCCCACCAAGGCGACGAUCCGUAGCUGGUCUGAGAGGAUGAUCAGCCACACUGGAACUGAGACACGGUCCAGACUCCUACGGGAGGCAGCAGUGGGGAAUAUUGGACAAUGGGCGCAAGCCUGAUCCAGCCAUACCGCGUGGGUGAAGAAGGCCUUCGGGUUGUAAAGCCCUUUUGUUGGGAAAGAAAAGCAGCAGGUUAAUACCCCGCUGUUCUGACGGUACCCAAAGAAUAAGCACCGGCUAACUUCGUG
RNAcentral lists this ribosomal RNA (492 nucleotides) under uncultured bacterium. RNAcentral describes it as "partial 16S ribosomal RNA". It matches the Rfam family "Bacterial small subunit ribosomal RNA", at positions 29 to 507 of the family's 1533-position model. The record is from RNAcentral.